Molecule: long non-coding RNA, 1601 nt
Filed under: Homo sapiens (human)
Lineage: Eukaryota; Metazoa; Chordata; Mammalia; Primates; Hominidae
Description: non-protein coding lnc-ZNF705E-1:10
Source: RNAcentral
AGUCUGCCUCCCUCGGCGGGCCGGGUCUCCAGGGAGGACCUGAUUUUUCUUCACCCAUAGUUAGGGAGGCGCAAUCGCCCUGGCUUUGGGGCUGGGGCCUCCGGGGAGGUUCCGGUAGGGGCGUUGGAGAGGCCGCUCUUUUUGCAAGGCCCGAGACGGCGGGCCCUGCGCAGGCCGCCCUAUUCCGCGCCCUCAGGGCGUCAGUAUCCGCCUGAGGCCGGAUACCCCAGCUGGGCCCGGAUGCCGUCGAUGGGCCCGGAGCAUCCUCGGCGCUGCCCUCCCAGAGCCCCGCAGAGGCUGAGGUGGCGCGGGGGGCGGGCCCGGCUCCGCGAGAAGCAGCGGCAGCGAGGGCUGGAGGACCCGGGCUACGGGGCUCUGGGGCGUCUGGCCUGGGUGGGACUGAGCCCAUUCGGGGGGACUCCGGGGUUCUGGUGUAGGUAGAUCCGGGGCAGGCUCAGGACCAAGUCCCUCUCCUUCCACCAAGGAGCGCCCAGAGGCCGGCGGGAGCUCCAGGUUCACCUCCUCCUCCUCCAGGUGUUUACUUUUCCUUUAUUUCUGUGAGGCCAGAAAUUGUCGCCAUCCUUCACAUCGGUGAAUCGGGACCCUAACACUCAUUACCUCAGGUUUAUUGUUAUUGCCAUUAACAGUGUUGGUGGCAUUAUCACUAAGAUCAUCAUUGUUGUUAUUAUUGUCAUUUAUGAUUAUUAGCAGGUGUGUUCAUUUUGUCUUACUAUGCAUUUUUUUUUGGGGGGGGGAUUGGUUUUGUAUGACGUUGAAUUGAGCUUCUUUAAUCUUGACCAGUGUCAGAUUUCUGAAGAGCAUUCCGGAGGACAACUCCUACCUUUCAGCGCAGCCACAGAAUUUCGUGGGCACAGGAGAGCACUUAGAAUAUUCCCCUUUCAUUGCACAGCAGCUUUGGGAAAUAGUGGCUGCCUGGCUCUGAGAUGAGGUAGAAAAGACUGGAUACUGGGGCAAGUGUUAGCACCUCCACUGGUGUUUUUAUGAAGCUAAGCGCACUGUCUCCCACGUAGACUUAGAAUAAAAUCUGAUGGCUCUAAAGGGCCGUGGCUGCCCUUCCUGGGACUUCCUGGGAACCUUUAAAGCUUCUGUGGUUUCUGGAGUAGGUAGGUUGCCAAGUCUGUGCCUCAUAUGGUAGUACCAGUCUUUGCUGGGCCAACAAGGACAUUUAGAAUGUUUCCAGAAGCUCAGGCAUGCUGUUUCUGUUCCUCCCUUCUGUUCAAUGGCAAUUCACUGGGUCCCUGGCUGACAUAGAACAUCCUGCAGAAGGUUGGGCUUGGGUGACUUCCUGGUCAGCCUUCCCAGGCAGUCAUCUUUGAAAACCUUGAAGAGACUCAAAGAGGCCAUUCACUGGUAUUUCAUGACUGCAGGUGGGGUUUCUGGAUCCUUGAGUUUACUUAGCAUAUUUGAAUGGCUCUGAAUGGCCAAGAAACCCUCCCUGGUCUUAGAAGCUGCCAAAAGCUAUUACUGGGCCUCUGAAGAGACUUUUAAAUUUUUCCAAGUACAUUUGAGCAUAGGAAACUUUUCCAGGUCUAGUUGAGCUAGCUCAGGUCGAGUCCUGAAAAACUAGUGGGUAUUGGGGG